Molecule: ribosomal RNA, 875 nt
Filed under: uncultured archaeon
Lineage: Archaea
Description: bacterial SSU rRNA
Rfam family: Archaeal small subunit ribosomal RNA
Source: RNAcentral
CCUUUUCCGGUUGAUCCUGCCGGCGGCCACCGCUAUUGGAAUUCGAUUAAGACAUGCGAGUCGAGAGUCUUCGGGACUCGGCGGACUGCUCAGUAACACGCGGAUAACAUGCCCUUGAGUGGGGGAUAACCUCGGGAAACUGAGAAUAAUACCCCAUAGAUCUAGGGAGCUGGAAUGCCUCUAGGUCAAAAGCUCCGGCGCUCAAGGAUUGGUCUGCGGCCUAUCAGGUAGUAGUGGGUGUAACGGACCCACUGGCCUAUGACGGGUAUGGGCCUUGGGAGAGGGAGCCCAGAGAUGGACUCUGAGACACGAGUCCAGGCCCUACGGGGCGCAGCAGUCGCGAAAACUUCACAAUGGGGGCAACCCCGAUGAGGGAAUUCCAAGUGCCAGCACACUGUGUUGGCUGUUCUCUUGUCUAAAAAACAAGAGGAGUAAGGGCCGGGUAAGACGGGUGCCAGCCGCCGCGGUAAUACCCGCGGCCCGAGUGGUGGUCGAUAUUAUUGAGCCUAAAACGUCCGUAGCCGGUCUCGUAAAUCCUUGGGUAAAUCGGGCAGCUCAACUGUCCGAAUUCCGAGGAGACUGCGAGACUUGGGACCGGGAGAGGUCAGAGGUACUUCUGGGGUAGGGGUAAAAUCCUGUAAUCCUGGAAGGACCACCGGUGGCGAAGGCGUCUGACUAGAACGGAUCCGACGGUGAGGGACGAAGCCCUGGGGCGCAAACGGGAUUAGAUACCCCGGUAGUCCAGGGUGUAAACGCUGCGGGCUUGGUGUUGGGGGUCCUUUGAGGGCGCCCAGUGCCGGAGAGAAGUUGUUAAGCCUGCUGCUUGGGGAGUACGUCCGCAAGGAUGAAACUUAAAGGAAUUGGCGGGGGAGCAC